UCAAAGUCGUAGGAAAACCAAGUAUUGUCAAAAAUUAAAAUCAUUGUUGAUAACGAACUAUUUCAAAUUUAAUAAUCAAUAGUAAAAAUUAAUCAUCCCAUGAUAACAAGGUGAUAAAUAAUAAUUAUUUUUAUUUUUAUACUAAAGUAGUAAAAUAUAUUAUAGUAUAAGAUACAUAUGGGUGUAUAAGUUAUCCGAGUAUAAAGGAUUUCGUAGGCUUGGAACCAAAAUAUGCUAUUUAAAAAUAUCAAAUUCUUCAAGAAAGAAAUAAAAUCUUUAAAAAAACUUAAAUACAGUUCAAUAUUAAUUAUGCAAUACUAUGGUCCGUUUGUCCGGAAUUAAUGUAUUCAUCUGAGACCAUUCAAAGUGCAGCUGUUGAAUGACUAGAACAGUCAAAAUAACUAUGGUAUCUACAUUCAAGGUAACAUAUGUCUAACAUUGGUGUGCUGUAAAGAAUAAUUUUCAAGGGGUCAUCAGUAUUCCAAAAUCAAUCGGAGUAACAAGUAUAAAUUUUCAAUCUGACCUGAGAACUAUAGAUUUGGAAAUUGUAUUUUAUAUGAUUUCUAACUAUAGGUACCCAGACCACAUUUAAUGGUAAGUUUAUGGCACUCGUUUAUUUUAAAAACUUUACCAGGUUUUCUAUUUAAGAUCAAAAUAUACAUAUAGCUGGAAUAGCUAUCAACAUUAUACAAUCAUUAGAGAUGACUUUGAAAACCAUGGUACUUCGUGGGCAAUACUGACAGAAAGAUGCACUUUUUAAAUUUUGCACAAUCACAAGGAAUAUCUAUGUUUCACUUCGAGUAGUUGAUGAUAUAUCAAUGAUAAUAAACUUGCUAUAAAUAUGUUACAUUUUAGGAGCUAUCGAGUCGGAGAUAUUCAAAUUCUUUUUGCAAUUUAGUGGGUAUAAAAACAAAUAUAUUCGGUGAAAAAAAUGGAAUAUUAUGUAGUACAAGGUUUCUCUUAACUUAUUGCUUUAAUUAAUAUCAAAAUUGCAGUCCUAAUUGUUUUUUAUACCUAUCCGUUUAAAAAUAAUUUGAAUGAGCUCCAUCAAAACCACAAACAUUUAAACGACCGAUUCCAAGCAAAUAAUAUAAUUAUUUAACUAUUAAAUAUUAAAAAUUAUUAAAUAAUACUUACUGCCUGUAUUUUUCACUGCAAAUGAUAAUGUUUAAUUGAUUAGAAUAUUGUUCAAUAUAGAUUACACUAUGAUUAAGGAUUAAUCUACAUUUUGUUGGGGAAAAAAAUGUAUCAGAAUUUUAUAAAAUGUUACUCUUAUCUUUAAUAAUUAAUUUAUUAUACUAUUUAUGGUAUCUAUAGUAAAGCAAACAAAAUAAAUAAAAACGUAAUUUCUGAAAAAGUCAAAACGAUGUGUAGGCAUGUACAAAUGUAAUUUAAGAGGCUUGCGGACAAGAACGGAUAGUAUAGACACCAUUAUAUUUACAUAAUAGAACUAUAACAUUAUUCUGAAAGAACAUAUCGACGCCCCUAACGAAAAAGGACGUAACUCACCUUUACGAUUUUUUUUUUUUUUUUUUCAAUGCGGUGUUACUGUUUUUCUGGUUGUCCGGCGACGCUGAUUGUUGUAUUUAAUCAAACAGAGACGUUGUGAACAAUAAGAUUGAGUUACUACCAUCUUCGUCAGAAAUCCACUAACACCAGUAAAACCACUUUGAAAAAAAAAAAAAAAUUGUAAAAGUGAGUUACGUCCUUUUUCGUUGG
Long non-coding RNA from Acyrthosiphon pisum (pea aphid), 1719 nucleotides. RefSeq lists it as uncharacterized. Lineage: Eukaryota; Metazoa; Arthropoda; Insecta; Hemiptera; Aphididae. The record is from RefSeq and is a predicted model, not a curated record. The transcript has 2 exons.